GAGUAACGCGUGGGUAACCUGCCUCAUACAGGGGGAUAACAGUUAGAAAUGACUGCUAAUACCGCAUAAGCGCACAGUUUCGCAUGGAACAGUGUGAAAAACUCCGGUGGUAUGAGAUGGACCCGCGUCUGAUUAGCUGGUUGGCGGGGUAACGGCCCACCAAGGCGACGAUCAGUAGCCGGCCUGAGAGGGUGAACGGCCACAUUGGGACUGAGACACGGCCCAAACUCCUACGGGAGGCAGCAGUGGGGAAUAUUGCACAAUGGGGGAAACCCUGAUGCAGCGACGCCGCGUGAAGGAAGAAGUAUUUCGGUAUGUAAACUUCUAUCAGCAGGGAAGAAAAUGACGGUACCUGACUAAGAAGCCCCGGCUAACUACGUG
This 381-nucleotide ribosomal RNA is filed under the name uncultured bacterium. RNAcentral's name for it is "bacterial SSU rRNA". It matches the Rfam family "Bacterial small subunit ribosomal RNA", at positions 108 to 507 of the family's 1533-position model. The record is from RNAcentral.